GUCGAGAGGCUUCUACAAUGGGGGAAACCCUGAUAGAGCGACGCCGCGUGGGUGAUGAAGGUCUUCGGAUUGUAAAGCCCUUUCAGCAGGGAAGAAUGAAGCGGGUGAUAAUACCAUCUGUUUCUGGACGGUACCUGCAGAAGAAGCUCCGGCUAACUCCGUGCCAGCAGCCGCGGUAAGACGGAGGGAGCAAGCGUUGUUCGGAUUUACUGGGCGUAAAGGGCGUCUAGGCGGGUCGGUCAGUCAGGUGUGAAACCCCCCGGCUUAACCGGGGAUCUGCACUUGAUACUGCCGGUCUUGAGUACGGAAGAGGAAAGCGGAAUUCCUGGUGUAGCGGUGAAAUGCGUAGAUAUCAGGAAGAACACCGGUGGCGAAGGCGGCUUUCUGGUCCGAUACUGACGCUGAAGCGCGAAAGUGUGGGGAGCAAACAGGAUUAGAAACCCCAGUAGUCC
Molecule: ribosomal RNA, 452 nt
Filed under: uncultured bacterium
Lineage: Bacteria
Description: bacterial SSU rRNA
Rfam family: Bacterial small subunit ribosomal RNA
Source: RNAcentral